Cyprinus carpio (common carp) is the source of this 1174-nucleotide long non-coding RNA. NCBI's taxonomy places the organism in Eukaryota, Metazoa, Chordata, Actinopteri, Cypriniformes, Cyprinidae. The record is from Ensembl.
GAUCUGAAACUUAAUUUCUAAUAACAUGAAGAUUAUUAACUGAUAUUUGUGUGUUUUGGUCAUGUUUGUCAGGAGGAAGUAGAUGCUUGGUGUUGAUCACAGUGGGUCUCGGGCUCAUUUGUGUUCUUCUGCUGGUCUUCAUCAUACUGCUGCACAUCACCAUCACAGCAGAGAGAGACCUGAUAAAGAGUUACAAGAACACAGCUGAAGAGUUCAAACAAACCAUCAACAGCUUACAGGACAAUUACACUGAUCUAAUGCAGAAGAACCUGAAACUGGAGACCAGAGUCAAAGAUCUCACUGCUGAGAAAAACCAGUUAGAGAGAGAUUUUGAUUCUUUGAAUAAGAAGAAACUGGAGUUAGAUAGCAAAGUCACUUCUCUAAGUAGGUUCUUCAUAUCCACUGAGUUGAAGAGCUGGUCUGACAGCAGACAGUACUGCAGGGAUCGUGGAGCUGAUCUGCUCAUUAUCAACACUGAAGAGAAGCAGGUGAGUUUUUGUGAGUUACUGUUAAUGAAUGAGAGCAAUCACACUUAUUCCUGUUUUUAUUCACACAGAGGUGAAGAAACGACAAUGGGAAGUGAAGGUGCAGUUCAAGAGAGAGCAUUUAAUUUUUUUUAUGGCCUGAGCCUAAGGAUUUAGACAUUUUUAUGUGAUGGCCAUACAAAUAAUAGGGUUGUCUAUUUUGCAAAUAAGCACAAUUUGCUUUUCAAAGAAAAACUCGACUUUCAAACAAACGCAAAGUGAUUUGCAAAUACAAAAUUCUAUUUGAGAGAAAAUGCAGAGGUAUGGACAAAUAUAUUUAUAGUGUGUUACAACUGUGAGACUCAUUUGCAUUUUUAUGAGGAAUCUUGGUUUGAUUUUCUCACAAAUGCAUACAGGCAGAUUUUCUCACAUGCGUCAAGUUGGAUUUUCUGACAAAAGCAAUUGAGCAAGUUUAUAUUCCAAAAACAGCAGAUGGCGCUGUUGGUCAAUUUACGCUAGUCUCCUGAGAUCCGAAACAUCUGUUUACCUUUUCAGACCAAUAUGAGAAGAUAUCCUCGCUGUCCAGAGUGUGUCUUCACCUGUGUAGCGCACGAACAUCCAAAGGGCAGAAAAAGAAAGUAGGCUAAAUUCUAUGAUGAGGCUUGACGNAAAAAAAUAAAUACAAAUUUAAAACUUCUUUUAGUUUUCUG